Molecule: ribosomal RNA, 432 nt
Filed under: uncultured Pseudomonas sp.
Lineage: Bacteria; Pseudomonadati; Pseudomonadota; Gammaproteobacteria; Pseudomonadales; Pseudomonadaceae
Description: bacterial SSU rRNA
Rfam family: Bacterial small subunit ribosomal RNA
Source: RNAcentral
CGAAGCAACGCGAAGAACCUUACCAGGCCUUGACAUGCAGAGAACUUUCCAGAGAUGGAUUGGUGCCUUCGGGAACUCUGACACAGGUGCUGCAUGGCUGUCGUCAGCUCGUGUCGUGAGAUGUUGGGUUAAGUCCCGUAACGAGCGCAACCCUUGUCCUUAGUUACCAGCACGUUAUGGUGGGCACUCUAAGGAGACUGCCGGUGACAAACCGGAGGAAGGUGGGGAGUGACGUCAAGUCAUCAUGGCCCUUACGGCCUGGGCUACACACGUGCUACAAUGGUCGGUACAAAGGGUUGCCAAGCCGCGAGGUGGAGCUAAUCCCAUAAAACCGAUCGUAGUCCGGAUCGCAGUCUGCAACUCGACUGCGUGAAGUCGGAAUCGCUAGUAAUUCGAGAUCAGCAUGCUCGGGUGAAUGCGUUCCCGGGCCUU